GGGGUAUUGGCGCAGUUGGGAGCGCGCUUGAAUGGCAUUCAAGAGGCCACGGGUUCAAGUCCCGUAUACUCCA
Molecule: transfer RNA, 73 nt
Filed under: Dorea sp. D27
Lineage: Bacteria; Bacillati; Bacillota; Clostridia; Lachnospirales; Lachnospiraceae
Also listed under: 6 other names
Rfam family: tRNA
About the family: Transfer RNA (tRNA) molecules are approximately 80 nucleotides in length.
Source: Rfam by way of RNAcentral